Molecule: small nucleolar RNA, 103 nt
Filed under: Chlamydomonas reinhardtii
Lineage: Eukaryota; Viridiplantae; Chlorophyta; Chlorophyceae; Chlamydomonadales; Chlamydomonadaceae
Description: CrCD16a snoRNA
Source: RNAcentral
UCUGGCUGGUGAUGAUCAACCAUAACUGCAACAAUCAUACACGGGGCCCGGCCUGCUAGCUGGAGGCCCCUGCUGACAUCCUACCACCAAGUCUGAGGCCAGA